This 43-nucleotide ribosomal RNA is filed under the name Perezia pilifera. Its description in RNAcentral is "partial 18S ribosomal RNA". The record is from RNAcentral. Lineage: Eukaryota; Viridiplantae; Streptophyta; Magnoliopsida; Asterales; Asteraceae.
GAGUAACAAGGUUUCCGUAGGUGAACCUGCGGAAGGAUCAUUG